GCGCUGAUAGCACGCAUAGUUUGAGUGCAGCACGCUUAUAACGUGUCGGUCGCGGGUUCGAGCCCCGCUCGGCGCA
RNAcentral lists this transfer RNA (76 nucleotides) under Mycobacterium intracellulare subsp. chimaera. RNAcentral describes it as "tRNA-Ile". It matches the Rfam family "tRNA". From Rfam's summary of the family: Transfer RNA (tRNA) molecules are approximately 80 nucleotides in length. Their secondary structure includes four short double-helical elements and three loops (D, anti-codon, and T loops). The record is from RNAcentral. Lineage: Bacteria; Bacillati; Actinomycetota; Actinomycetes; Mycobacteriales; Mycobacteriaceae.